RNAcentral lists this ribosomal RNA (253 nucleotides) under uncultured bacterium. RNAcentral describes it as "partial 16S ribosomal RNA". It matches the Rfam family "Bacterial small subunit ribosomal RNA", at positions 524 to 776 of the family's 1533-position model. The record is from RNAcentral.
UACGUAGGGUGCAAGCGUUAAUCGGAAUUACUGGGCGUAAAGCGUGCGCAGGCGGUUAUGCAAGACAGAGGUGAAAUCCCCGGGCUCAACCUGGGAACUGCCUUUGUGACUGCGUGGCUAGAGUACGGUAGAGGGGGAUGGAAUUCCGCGUGUAGCAGUGAAAUGCGUAGAUAUGCGGAGGAACACCGAUGGCGAAGGCAAUCCCCUGGACCUGUACUGACGCUGAGGCGCGAAAGCGUGGGGAGCAAACAGG